This 28-nucleotide non-coding RNA is filed under the name Bombyx mori (domestic silkworm). Lineage: Eukaryota; Metazoa; Arthropoda; Insecta; Lepidoptera; Bombycidae. The record is from RNAcentral.
UAAAGAAACAAUUUCGGUAUCCCACAGA